GAGACAGCAGUAGCCACGGUAAUACGAAGGGUGCAAGCGUUAAUCGGAAUUACUGGGCGUAAAGCGUGCGUAGGCGGUGAGUUAAGUCUGCUGUGAAAUCCCCGGGCUCAACCUGGGAAUGGCUGUGGAUACUGGCUCGCUAGAGUGUGUCAGAGGAUGGUGGAAUUCCCGGUGUAGCGGUGAAAUGCGUAGAGAUCGGGAGGAACAUCAGUGGCGAAGGCGGCCAUCUGGGACAACACUGACGCUGAGGCACGAAAGCGUGGGGAGCAAACAGGAUUAGAUACCCCCGUAGUCCCUGUCUCUUAUAC
RNAcentral lists this ribosomal RNA (308 nucleotides) under uncultured bacterium. RNAcentral describes it as "partial 16S ribosomal RNA". It matches the Rfam family "Bacterial small subunit ribosomal RNA", at positions 505 to 807 of the family's 1533-position model. The record is from RNAcentral.